CCUUCGAUAGCUCAGUUGUAGAGUGGAGGACUGUAGAUCCUUAGGUCGCUGGUUCAAAUCCGGCUUGAAGGA
This 72-nucleotide transfer RNA is filed under the name Merluccius polli (Benguela hake). RNAcentral's name for it is "tRNA-Tyr". It matches the Rfam family "tRNA". From Rfam's summary of the family: Transfer RNA (tRNA) molecules are approximately 80 nucleotides in length. Their secondary structure includes four short double-helical elements and three loops (D, anti-codon, and T loops). Further hydrogen bonds mediate the characteristic L-shaped molecular structure. tRNAs have two regions of fundamental functional importance: the anti-codon, which is responsible for specific mRNA codon recognition, and the 3' end, to which the tRNAs corresponding amino acid is attached (by aminoacyl-tRNA synthetases). tRNAs cope with the degeneracy of the genetic code in two manners: having more than one tRNA (with a specific anti-codon) for a particular amino acid; and 'wobble' base-pairing, i.e. permitting non-standard base-pairing at the 3rd anti-codon position. The record is from RNAcentral. Lineage: Eukaryota; Metazoa; Chordata; Actinopteri; Gadiformes; Merlucciidae.